RNAcentral lists this unclassified non-coding RNA (223 nucleotides) under uncultured Gammaproteobacteria bacterium. RNAcentral describes it as "contains 16S-23S intergenic spacer region". The record is from RNAcentral. Lineage: Bacteria; Pseudomonadati; Pseudomonadota; Gammaproteobacteria.
UCCGGUUUGUCACCGGCAGUCCCAUUAGAGUGCUCAACUGAAUGUAGCAACUAAUGGCAAGGGUUGCGCUCGUUGCGGGACUUAACCCAACAUCUCACGACACGAGCUGACGACAGCCAUGCAGCACCCGUGUUGCGGUUCCCUUUCGGGCACCCCUGCAUUUCUGCAGGGUUCCGCACAUGUCAAGGGUAGGUAAGGUGGGAUGACGUUCCUGUACCAUAGA